Molecule: ribosomal RNA, 339 nt
Filed under: uncultured Latescibacterota bacterium
Lineage: Bacteria; Pseudomonadati; Candidatus Latescibacterota
Description: bacterial SSU rRNA
Rfam family: Bacterial small subunit ribosomal RNA
Source: RNAcentral
AAUGAACGCUGGCGGCGUGGAUUAGGCAUGCAAGUCGAACGAGAAAGCGAAAUUUAUUUCGUGAGUAGAGUGGCGAACGGGUGAGUAACGCGUGGGAAACCUACCCUGAAGUGGGGGAUAACAUUCCUAACGGGAUGCUAAUACCGCAUAACAUUUUCUAACGCAUGUUGGAAAAUCAAAGGUGGCCUCUACUUGUAAGCUGACGCUUUGGGAUGGUCCCGCGUCCAAUUAGCUAGUUGGUAGGGUAACGGCCUACCAAGGCGACGAUUGGUAGCCGGCCUGAGAGGGUGACCGGCCACACUGGGACUGAGACACGGCCCAGACUCCUACGGGUGGCAG